RNAcentral lists this ribosomal RNA (433 nucleotides) under uncultured bacterium. RNAcentral's name for it is "partial 16S ribosomal RNA". It matches the Rfam family "Bacterial small subunit ribosomal RNA", at positions 29 to 507 of the family's 1533-position model. The record is from RNAcentral.
AACGAACGCUGGCGGCAUGCCUAACACAUGCAAGUCGAACGAGACCUUCGGGUCUAGUGGCGCACGGGUGCGUAACGCGUGGGAACCUGCCCUUAGGUUCGGAAUACCUCCCCGAAAGGGGUGCUAAUACCGGAUAAUUUCUUCGGACCAAAGAUUUAUCGACUUUGGAUGGGCCCGCGUUGUAUUAGCUAGUUGGUAUUGUAAAAGCCUACCAAGGCGACGAUCCAUAGCUGGUCUGAGAGGAUGAUCAGCCACACUGGGACUGAGACACGGCCGAGACUACUACGGGAGGCAGGAGUGGGGAAUAUAGGACAAUGGGGGAAAGGAUGAAGCAGCAAUGCCGGGUGAGUGAUGAAGGCGUUAGGGUAGUAAAGCUCGUUUACCCGGGAUGAUAAUGACAGUACCGGGAGAAUAAGCACCGGCUAACUCCGUG